Molecule: small RNA, 497 nt
Filed under: uncultured fungus
Lineage: Eukaryota; Fungi
Description: eukaryotic LSU rRNA
Rfam family: 5.8S ribosomal RNA (bases 118-271)
Source: RNAcentral
GAAUUGCUCUUUGAGCGUUAAACUAUAUCCAUCUACACCUGUGAACUGUUGAUUGACUUCGGUCAAUUACUUUUACAAACAUUGUGUAAUGAACGUCAUGUUAUUAUAACAAAAAUAACUAUUCAACAACGGAUCUCUUGGCUCUCGCAUCGAUGAAGAACGCAGCGAAGUGCGAUAAGUAAUGUGAAUUGCAGAAUUCAGUGAAUCAUCGAAUCUUUGAACGCAACUUGCGCUCUCUGGUAUUCCGGAGAGCAUGCCUGUUUGAGUAUCAUGAAAUCUCAACCAUUAGGGUUUCUUAAUGGCUUGGAUUUGGGCGCUGCCACUUGCCUGGCUCGCCUUAAAAGAGUUAGCGUAUUAACUUGUCGAUCUGGCGUAAUAAGUUUCGCUGGUGUAGACUUGAGAAGUGCGCUUCUAAUCGUCUUCGGACAAUUCUUGAACUCUGGUCUCAAAUCAGGUAGGACUACCCGCUGAACUUAAGCAUAUCAAUAAGCGGAGGA